AGUAGUAGAUAUAAGAAAAAUCAUAUUAGAAAAAGUAUUUGAUAAAUAUUAUAUGACUAUAAUAAAUUACAUACCUUGCCUACCUAACUACUCUUACAAAUACUUACCAUGAUAAAUUACAUAUAUCUAGAAUUUUUGAAAAAAGAUAUGAGAAACAUACAGUUAAUAGAAAAACAGAUGAAAGUAAAUUUAGACAAAUACAUGGAAACUAAAGAUAUAAAAUAUAUAGAAUUUCUUAAUGAAAAUAUGCAAAAACUACUAAGGCUAAAACAAA
This 274-nucleotide long non-coding RNA is filed under the name Capsicum annuum. RNAcentral's name for it is "long non-coding RNA (CANN_LNC009831)". The record is from RNAcentral. Lineage: Eukaryota; Viridiplantae; Streptophyta; Magnoliopsida; Solanales; Solanaceae.